AUUCUUUUGCCAAUUCUUUAACUAGUUCUAUUUCUUCUGCACUUCAUAGUUCAUUACCUAUUUUUUUUCCAAUUCUAAUUCUUUUUCCAAUACACUUUCUGUUUCUAAUUCUGUUCAUGUUUCUGAUUCUAAACCCUCAGGUGUGAGCCUGAGGCAGUGACGGAGCACCUGGUUAAGGUGUGGACAGCCCAGGGAGCACAGGUGGAAGCAGUUCCCCUGUGGAGUGGGACUGGGUGGAGCCAGAGCCCACCUGAGCUCAUUUAAAGGCUGGCAGCUGAAGGGGAAGGGUCUGUGCCUGGAGGUUGCUCUGGCUGUUUGGCUGGUGUUGAGCAGAAGGUUCUGGACACCAGGACUCCUUUCAAGCGAUGUGAGGGCUCCACUGAGGGCCUUGGUGGACACAGCAGGAAGCCACAGCCAAGGCUGAACACCAACAUCAACACUUGAUCUUGUCUGGCAAGGAGCUCCCCUUGGCCUCCGUGUCUCGCUCUGGCCAGGCAGAUGUGGUGUGCCAACGGUACGCAGAGUGCAGAUCCUGAGCAGAAGAACAACUGAGGAGAGAGGCUCCCCUGGGUGAGACAGGAGAAGUGCCCCUUGGAGUGGGGGACGCCCUGCUGGCACUGCCUCUCGCAUCCACCGGCAGCACGUUCCUUCUCUCUCCUUGCUGCCCGGCGCUUUACCGUCUCCCAGGGCUCACCAAGUCCAAAUGUUCCCUGAUGGAGUCCAACUCCAGUUUGACCAACACUCACCCCGUCUUGUCCCCGCACCAGCUGGCUUAGAGCUCCCCAGCACUGCUGGCUGUCCGUGCCUUCUGUCGCUCCCAGUCAGCAUGGCUCUGUUCUUUGUCUUUUGGGUUCCAGAGCAUUUGCUACUGGUUAUGGAGCGUUUCUCUUCUCUCUCUUCUUGUCUUCCAUGUUGCCCGUUGGCGCCUUGGUGGAGUUUCAGUGACCCAAACGCAGGCGGCUCUGCAUUGACCAAGUGUGAUGCCAAAGGAAGAGCUAGGCUUCAAAACAGGCCGCUGGACUGGAGACUCCACCACCAGGUGCCGUUGUCAUUCCUGACCUCCCCAGGUUGCGGCGUUGGACGUGCCCUGAUCCUUGGAAAGGGGUGGCAGUGGGGAGUUGUGACACUCCUGCACGCUGCAAGGGCUCUACUGAGGCUCUUGGUGGACACAGCAGGAACCCACACGCACAGAUGGAUGCCAAGAUCCGCUCCUUCCUCUGUCUGGCAAGCUCUGCUGACCCCUGAGGUCGUUCCCAUGCUUGCGGAGGUUCAAUGGGCUUGGUGUUGGUUGUCGCUUGUGCUCACCUUGCAGUCACCGGGUGUUCUUCCUUUGCCCAUCAUAGGGGUCCCCCGU
Long non-coding RNA from Gallus gallus (chicken), 1354 nucleotides. RefSeq lists it as uncharacterized. Lineage: Eukaryota; Metazoa; Chordata; Aves; Galliformes; Phasianidae. The transcript has 5 exons. The record is from RefSeq and is a predicted model, not a curated record.